GCCACCGUAGCUCAGUUGGUAGAGCAGUUGAUUUGUAAUCAUCAGGUCGGGGGUUCGAAUCCCUUCGGUGGCUCCA
RNAcentral lists this transfer RNA (76 nucleotides) under Nitrospirae bacterium GWC2_42_7. Its description in RNAcentral is "tRNA-Thr". It matches the Rfam family "tRNA". From Rfam's summary of the family: Transfer RNA (tRNA) molecules are approximately 80 nucleotides in length. Their secondary structure includes four short double-helical elements and three loops (D, anti-codon, and T loops). RNAcentral also lists the same sequence under 10 other names. Lineage: Bacteria; Pseudomonadati; Nitrospirota. The record is from RNAcentral.